GCGCAGGCGGUUUUGUAAGACAGAGGUGAAAUCCCCGGGCUCAACCUGGGAACUGCCUUUGUGACUGCAAGGCUGGAGUGCGGCAGAGGGGGAUGGAAUUCCGCGUGUAGCAGUGAAAUGCGUAGAUAUGCGGAGGAACACCGAUGGCGAAAGCAAUCCCCUGGGCCUGCACUGACGCUCAUGCACGAAAGCGUGGGGAGCAAACAGGAUUACAUACCCUGGUAGUCCACGCCCUAAACGAUGUCAACUGGUUGUUGGGUCUUCACUGACUCAGUAACGAAACUAACGCGUGAAGUUGACCGCCUGGGGAGUACGGCCGCGAGGUUGAAACUCAAAGGAAUUGACGGGGACCCGCACAAGCGGUGGAUGAUGUGGUUUAAUUCAAUGCAACGCGAAAAACCUUACCCACCUUUGACAUGGCAGGAAGUUUCCAGAGAUGGAUUCGUGCCCGAAAGGGAACCUGCACACAGGUGCUGCAUGGCUGUCGUCACCUCGUGUCGUGAGAUGUUGGGUUAAGUCCCGCAACGAGCGCAACCCUUGCCAUUAGUUGCUACGAAAGGGCACUCUAAUGGGACUGCCGGUGACAAACCGGAGGAAGGUGGGGAUGACGUCAAGUCCUCAUGGCCCUUAUAGGUGGGGCUACACACGUCAUACAAUGGCUGGUACGGAGGGUUGCCAACCCGCGAGGGGGAGCUAAUCCCAUAAAGCCAGUCGUAGUCCGGAUCGCAGUCUGCAACUCGACUGCGUGAAGUCGGAAUCGCUAGUAAUCGCGGAUCAGAAUGUCGCGGUGAAUACGUUCCCGGGUCUUGUACACACCGCCCGUCACACCAUGGGAGCGGGUUCUGCCAGAAGUAUGUAGCCUAACCGUAAGGAGGGCGC
This 879-nucleotide ribosomal RNA is filed under the name uncultured bacterium. RNAcentral's name for it is "bacterial SSU rRNA". It matches the Rfam family "Bacterial small subunit ribosomal RNA", at positions 569 to 1453 of the family's 1533-position model. The record is from RNAcentral.